RNAcentral lists this ribosomal RNA (484 nucleotides) under uncultured bacterium. RNAcentral describes it as "partial 16S ribosomal RNA". It matches the Rfam family "Bacterial small subunit ribosomal RNA", at positions 30 to 507 of the family's 1533-position model. The record is from RNAcentral.
AUUGAACGCUGGCGGCAGGCCUAACACAUGCAAGUCGAGCGGAUGAAGGGAGCUUGCUCCUGGAUUCAGCGUCGGACGGGUGAGUAAUGCCUAGGAAUCUGCCUGGCAGUGGUGGAUAAUGUCCUGAAACGGGCGCUACUACUGCAUACGUCCUGAGGGUGAAAGUGGGGGAUCUUCGGACCUCACGCUCUCAGAUGAGCCUAGGCCGGAUUAGCUAGUUGGUGGGGUAAAGGCCUACCAAGGCGACGAUCCGUAACUGGUCUGAGAGAAUGAUCAGUCACACUAGAACUGAGACACGGUCAAGACUCCUAAGGGAGGCAGCAGUGGGGAAUAUUGGGCAGUGGGCGGAAGCCUGAUCCAGCCAGGCCGCGUGUGUGAAGAAGAUCUUCGGAUUGUAAAGCACUUUAAGUUGGGAGGAAGGGCAGUAAGUUAAUACCUUGCUGUUUUGACGUUACCAACAGAAUAAGCACCGGCUAACUUCGUG